Molecule: unclassified non-coding RNA, 159 nt
Filed under: uncultured Basidiomycota
Lineage: Eukaryota; Fungi; Basidiomycota
Description: sequence contains ITS2
Source: RNAcentral
CAUUCUGUGCCCGGCUUUGGCCGGGCGCGAGUUGGGCCGUGCCUUUAGCGAGGCUCGCCCUGAAUGCAUUAGCGGGUUCAAGACUUGUACAUGACGUGAUAAGUAUUUCGUCAGACCGGUCAGCGACCUGCUUCCAAUCGUCCUCGGACAAUUACAAGU